AAGCGUUUACGGCCAGACCUUUUCCUAGCGGAUCAUCUAGUGUUCUCACUGGUGCACUUCGUUAGGUUUAGGCCAGCAUCGGCUUCUGUAGAGGGAUAAAAGCAGUGGGAAAGUAGCUCUCUCGGGAGUGUUAUAGCCCUAAGCAUAAUACCUUUACGGGGGCCGAGGACCGCGCUUUUGCAAGGAUGCUGGCGUAAUGGUCGUCAACGA
This 210-nucleotide ribosomal RNA is filed under the name Xylariaceae sp. RNAcentral's name for it is "partial large subunit ribosomal RNA". The record is from RNAcentral. Lineage: Eukaryota; Fungi; Ascomycota; Sordariomycetes; Xylariales; Xylariaceae.